RNAcentral lists this ribosomal RNA (502 nucleotides) under uncultured bacterium. Its description in RNAcentral is "partial 16S ribosomal RNA". It matches the Rfam family "Bacterial small subunit ribosomal RNA", at positions 30 to 523 of the family's 1533-position model. The record is from RNAcentral.
AUUGAACGCUGGCGGCAGGCUUAACACAUGCAAGUCGAGCGGGGUGAUGGUGCUUGCACUAUCACUUAGCGGCGGACGGGUGAGUAAUGCUUAGGAAUCUGCCUAUUAGUGGGGGACAACAUCUCGAAAGGGAUGCUAAUACCGCAUACGUCCUACGGGAGAAAGCAGGGGAUCACUUGUGACCUUGCGCUAAUAGAUGAGCCUAGUCGGAUUAGCUAGUUGGUGGGGUAAAGGCCUACCAAGGCGACGAUCUGUAGCGGGUCUGAGAGGAUGGUCGGCCACACGGGGAAGGAGACACGGCCCAGGCUCGUAGGGGAGGCAGCAGUGGGGAGUAUUGGACAAUGGGGGGAACCCUGAUCCAGCCAUGCCGCGUGUGUGAAGAAGGCCUUAUGGUUGUAAAGCACUUUAAGCGAGGAGGAGGCUACUCUAGUUAAUACCUAGGGAUAGUGGACGUUACUCGCAGAAUAAGCACCGGCUAACUCUGUGCCAGCCGCCGCCGUAA